GGGGCAGCGGGGAGGAAGCUUGCUUUCUCCGCCUGCGACCGGCGCACGGGUGAGUAACACGUAUGCAACCUGCCCCUGUCAGGGGGACAACCCGCCGAAAGGCGGGCUAAACCCGCGUACAUGCCACCGGGGCAUCCCGGAGGCAGGAAAGGCUUCGGCCGGACAGGGAUGGGCAUGCGGCGCAUUAGGCAGUAGGCGGGGUAACGGCCCACCUAACCGACGAUGCGUAGGGGUUCUGAGAGGAAGGUCCCCCACACUGGUACUGAGACACGGACCAGACUCCUACGGGAGGCAGCAGUGAGGAAUAUUGGUCAAUGGUCGGGAGACUGAACCAGCCAAGCCGCGUGAGGGAGGAAGGUACAGAGUAUCGUAAACCUCUUUUGUCAGGGAACAAAGACUGGGACGCGUCCCCGGAUG
RNAcentral lists this ribosomal RNA (417 nucleotides) under uncultured bacterium. Its description in RNAcentral is "bacterial SSU rRNA". It matches the Rfam family "Bacterial small subunit ribosomal RNA", at positions 66 to 471 of the family's 1533-position model. The record is from RNAcentral.